Molecule: long non-coding RNA, 1505 nt
Organism: Chiroxiphia lanceolata (lance-tailed manakin)
Lineage: Eukaryota; Metazoa; Chordata; Aves; Passeriformes; Pipridae
Exons: 5
Source: RefSeq, a predicted model, not a curated record
UUCAUGAUAUGCACUGGUGCUCUCCACUGCUCUCCACCUGAUCAGCCCAAACAACGAGCUUGGAGGAGGAGCUGCUCUGCCACAGGACAGUGGCAACCCCAAAGAUGGAGAAGGUAAAACUCAGAGGACCAUCAUUUCUCAUCCAUGGAGCCCAUCUGCACAAGCCAAAAUAAACCAAAUUUCCCCCAAAUGCCAGGCCAGUGCACUAACCACAAGCUCGCUGGCAUCCUUCACUUGCCACAGCCCUGCCUGCCUCUUCUUCAGGGGAAGGAUGCUGUGUUGGGAAAGAAAUCCCCAAGGAAGUUCUUUGCCUGGAUGGUUGGUUGAACCUCCCCAGCGUGGCAGAGAUGCCCCAGCUACAAGGCACCAUCUCAGCACACAAAGGAAACAACAAUCUGGACUGGAGGAAGUCACUGAAAACCUGAGUGAACCUCAAGUGCAUCAGGAAAUGGGUCUGAUGCUUUGGCUCAGUCUGGCCUGGAAACCUGCUCCUGGUGUGUCAUGACCACAGGCUUGACAGGUGGAAGCAAAAUGAGCAGUUCAAGUGACAAGAGCAAGAUCACCUUGCAGACCCUGACCCACCUGUCUGUGAAGAGGUCGGGGUGUUGGAUCAGGGCCUUGAGAACAGCAGUCUUAGGGAUCAGGUUGUCAGCACAUGGAUGCAAGAUCCUGGGAACAGGAUGUCAGAUUUAACUGAAUUGAAUUCCAGAGUCUCCGUGGAAGCAAGUGACCUUUCCUGCUCAGGGCACAGAGAGGUGCUGUGAGUGACACAGAAGCCGAGGAAGGUUUAGGAAGGAGCAUUUAUUGAAGCUGCAAGGGGCAGCCUGAUACUGCAAAGGAUGUUUAUUUUCCCAGAUCAAGUUGAAAGCUCACAGCAACUUCCCGCAGUUUAUGGAAUUAAAUACUUGGACCGGGCUCAGAAACACCAGACUGAGAAGAAACAUUCAGCAAAGGUCAGCCACAACUAUUUACAAGGGGCGUACACGUGACACAGUAAAACUUGCACUGAAAUAAACCCCCCAGCCCCUCUCCCACAAGGUCCCAUUUUGAUGCUGAACUGCUUUGAAAUUGUUCUGCCGAAAACUUUUGCUUGUGCUCCAGCAAAAAGUUUCCCUCACGCUGAAACUGCAUUUCCCAUUGGAAACCUCUUUGGUUCAAGUAUUUCCUCGUCUCUGCUGAUGCUUCCUGGGUUCGUGCCCUGCUCCAGGAUUGUUCUCUCUGUGACCAGCAUGUGACAGGGCUUAAAUAAGGAGUGAUUUGUGACGUGCCUUGAUACCCUCUGAUAAAAGAUGCCCAGAGCACUGUGUGUUACAGUACCGUGAUUUCUCUCCCCACUUCUUCAGAAUGCGUUAAAUGUGUGGGUGCUCCAGUUAUUUCCUCUAACAGUUGAUAUUUUAACCUGCUGUAUUUUUAUCUUGGCUGCAUUAUAUAACAAGUUAUGCUGGUGUCAAUCUGGAAGCUCCAGCACCGUCAGUAAAGCUAAUCCAGUUUAACACAAGCCUUAG